Long non-coding RNA from Pipistrellus kuhlii (Kuhl's pipistrelle), 193 nucleotides. RefSeq lists it as uncharacterized. The record is from RefSeq and is a predicted model, not a curated record. Lineage: Eukaryota; Metazoa; Chordata; Mammalia; Chiroptera; Vespertilionidae. The transcript has 3 exons.
GAACCACAUGAGCCAGUUCAUGUUCUUAAAGAACCCACAUCUAGACCUUGGGGGUGCCCAAGUGUCCAGAAAACCCACAAAACCCAAGCGUUAGAGUCCUUCCACCAGGCCCACGUGUCCUUUCUCCUCACCUAAUUCCACUAAGCUGACAAAAAACAAAACACAAAACCAAACAAACGAACAAACAAACAGU